Podarcis lilfordi (Lilford's wall lizard) is the source of this 74-nucleotide non-coding RNA. NCBI's taxonomy places the organism in Eukaryota, Metazoa, Chordata, Lepidosauria, Squamata, Lacertidae. The record is from the annotation of a GenBank genome assembly.
GCUUGGAUAGCUCAGCUGGUUAGAAUGUGGUGCUCACGAUGCCAGGGUUGCAGGUUUGAUCCCUGUAUGGGGCA